GAAUUAAUUCACUUAGAUGUUCACAGGUUGUUGCGGUUUCCUUUGGGGUAGAGUGCCAGAUUUAUGCUAAUAGUUAUAGAUGACUUCUCGAGGAAGACGUGGGUGUUUGUGCUUAGGCACAAGUUCGAUGAUGUUGUCAAAUCAGGCAGGUAAAAGCUUUGAUCGAAAAUGAGACUGAUAAAAUGAUUAAGCAUGUAUGGACUGAUAGUAGUAUGAAGUUUUGCUUGAAGCUGUUACAUGAAUUCUGCAUGAAGGAAGACAUAAUGUGACACCGUACUAGUGCCAAUUAACCACAAUAGGUUGCAGAGUUAAUAAGAAAAACAUUACUAGAGACGGCCUAUAAAAUGCUCUCUAGUGCUGGUAUAAUUAGGAGAUUCCUUACGGAUGCGCUUAGUACAUCGAGCUCUCUGAUAAAUAGAUCCCCAUCGACUGCGAUUAGAUGUCGGACUCUCAAAGAAGUGUGGUCAGGUAACGUUGCUGUUUAUUCUGUUCUUAGAAUAUUUGGUUGCCCAUGUUAUGUUUGAGCAAGUGAUGGUAAGCUCGAUGGAAGGGCAAGAAAGUGCAUGUUCCUAGAUUAUGCACAAGGUGAGCAGUGUUAUAAGUUGUGGUGCCCGAAAUUAAAUUCACAUGUUGUCAGUGGAGAAGUUACAUUUGACGAGUCUUUAAUACUUCUGGCUAGGAGUGAUUUUAGCAAUGUUUAUAUGGAUUUGGACAGUGUUCAGCUUGAGGUGGAGUUGCAACCAAAAACUCUUGAGGUAUCGAGUACUAGCGUGAUAAUCGACACAGAUGGUGCUUGUAGCGAGGUAAGUAGGUUGUAUCGGAAAAUCCUUGUGGAGUAGUUAAAGGUGCAAGUGGAGUAGGUGUUUCGAUGAGGUCCACGGUUAUGGCAAAGUUCAAGCGAGGCUUUGAUUUGAAAGACGUAUGUGGCAGUUGAGCCCAUUUGGGUUGUGGGAGAGUAGUAGAGAAGUUCUGGCGAAGCGAUUAUGAUUUGGCUCAAACGUCGAGCCAAGGUGGAGAUUGUUAAAAUUAUGUCUCGAUUUUGAGCCCGAAAAAGAAAGUUUUCUAAUUCAAGUAAGUUUCCUAUUUUGAAUAA
Molecule: long non-coding RNA, 1093 nt
Organism: Syzygium oleosum
Lineage: Eukaryota; Viridiplantae; Streptophyta; Magnoliopsida; Myrtales; Myrtaceae
Exons: 2
Source: RefSeq, a predicted model, not a curated record